UUGUGAGGCUGAUGUGUAGGCAAAUCCGCACAUCGUUAAGGCUGGGCUGUGAUGGGGAGCGAAAAUUGCAGUAGCGAAGGUCAUGAGUUCAGGCUGCCAAGAAAAGCCUCUAGCCAGGUGAAGGUGCCCGUACCGCAAACCGACACAGGUAGGCGAGCAGAGUAUGCUAAGGCGCUCGGAAGAACUCUCGUUAAGGAACUCGGCAAAAUGACCCCGUAACUUCGGGAGAAGGGGUGCCUCGGUAGGGUGAAUAGCCCGAGGGGGCCGCAGUGAAAAGGCCCAAGCGACUGUUUAGCAAAAACACAGGUCUGUGCGAAGCCGUAAGGCGAAGUAUACGGGCUGACGCCUGCCCGGUGCUGGAAGGUUAAGGGGAGUGGUUAGCCGCAAGGCGAAGCUAUGAACCGAAGCCCCAGUAAACGGCGGCCGUAACCAUAACGGUCCUAAGGUAGCGAAAUUCCUUGUCAGGUAAAUUCUGACCCGCACGAAUGGCGUAACGACUUGGGCGCUGUCUCAACGAGAGAUCCGGUGAAAUUUUAAUACCUGUGAAGAUGCAGGUUACCCGCGACAAGACGGAAAGACCCCAUGGAGCUUUACUGCAGCUUGAUAUUGGACUUUGGUACGAUCUGUACAGGAUAGGUGGGAGCCUUGGAAACCGGAGCGCCAGCUUCGGCGGAGGCAUCGUUGGGAUACCACCCUGAUCGUAUCGGAGUUCUAACCUGGUACCGUGAUCCGGUACAGGGACCGUGUCAGGUGGGCAGUUUGACUGGGGCGGUCGCCUCCUAAAAUGUAACGGAGGCGCCCAAAGGUUCCCUCAGAAUGGUUGGAAAUCAUUCGUAGCGUGCAAAGGCAUAAGGGAGCUUGACUGCGAGACCUACAAGUCGAGCAGGGACGAAAGUCGGGCUUAGUGAUCCGGUGGUACCGCAUGGAAGGGCCAUCGCUCAACGGAUAAAAGCUACCCUGGGGAUAACAGGCUUAUCUCCCCCAAGAGUCCACAUCGACGGGGAGGUUUGGCACCUCGAUGUCGGCUCAUCGCAUCCUGGGGCUGAAGUAGGUCCCAAGGGUUGGGCUGUUCGCCUAUUAAAGCGGUACGCGAGCUGGGUUCAGAACGUCGUGAGACAGUUCGGUCCCUAUCUGUCGUGGGCGUAGGAAAUUUGAGAGGAGCUGUCCUUAGUACGAGAGGACCGGGAUGGACGCACCGCUGGUGUACCAGUUGUUCCGCCAGGAGCAUAGCUGGGUAGCUACGUGCGGACGGGAUAAGCGCUGAAAGCAUCUAAGCGUGAAGCCCCCCUCAAGAUGAGAUUUCCCAGUAUGUAAGACCCCUGGAAGACGACCAGGUUGAUAGGUUCGAGGUGGAAGCGCAGCAAUGCGUGGAGCUGACGAAUACUAAUCGGUCGAGGGCUUAUCC
This 1405-nucleotide ribosomal RNA is filed under the name metagenome. RNAcentral describes it as "bacterial LSU rRNA". It matches the Rfam family "Bacterial large subunit ribosomal RNA", at positions 1517 to 2925 of the family's 2925-position model. The record is from RNAcentral.